UAGACAUAUUAUUGUAUUCGACUGUAUUCACGGCACAAUUCAUGAUCUAUUCAGCUGUUUUUAAACGGAAAGUGAAUCAAUUAACAUAAUAGACUUCU
Molecule: microRNA precursor, 98 nt
Filed under: Nicotiana sylvestris (wood tobacco)
Lineage: Eukaryota; Viridiplantae; Streptophyta; Magnoliopsida; Solanales; Solanaceae
Also listed under: 1 other name
Description: MIR6152 microRNA precursor family
Rfam family: MIR6152 microRNA precursor family
Source: Rfam by way of RNAcentral